Molecule: small nuclear RNA, 102 nt
Organism: Ochotona curzoniae (black-lipped pika)
Lineage: Eukaryota; Metazoa; Chordata; Mammalia; Lagomorpha; Ochotonidae
Source: RefSeq, a predicted model, not a curated record
UUUUCUCUGAUUUAAAAAUGAAUAAAAGCUAACUGUACAGAGAAGAUCAGUAUAUCCUUGCACAAGGAUAACAUGUAAAUUUAUGAACACCCAUAUGCUUUU